RNA transcript from Oncorhynchus kisutch (coho salmon), 1371 nucleotides. It is a transcript of the gene named BCL2/adenovirus E1B 19 kDa protein-interacting protein 3, with no coding region annotated. NCBI's taxonomy places the organism in Eukaryota, Metazoa, Chordata, Actinopteri, Salmoniformes, Salmonidae. The transcript has 6 exons. The record is from RefSeq and is a predicted model, not a curated record.
AGCCAAUCACAUUUCACUUGGCCAUGUCAACAAAAGAUUUCGUUAUAAUUGUUUUCCGGCUGCCUGGUAGUGUUGCACAACAACUUCUAGUGCUUACUCGUGUGAUCGAUUAAAAAUAAGACCAAACAUUUUUAUAGUUCGUCGACAAAGCUCUAUGGGUUGAUUUGAACGCGUUUUAAAUAAACAUGUCGCUUCAGAAGGAAAUUCCGUAUGAGGAGAGCUUGCAGGGUCAGUACAGAAACUAAACAUCAAAUACGCUGUUUUUUUAGCUAACGUUGGCUGGCCACAUCAUUUUUAUGUUCCUGGGUGGAGUUGCACUAUAACACUGGCAGUGGGAGUCAGGUGUGCCAGGAGCAGAUCUCAACAACUGCUCUUGAUGUAGACCUGGAGAAGUUACUACUAGACGCUCAACACGAGUCAAGCAGGAGUACCUCGAGAGGAAGCUCACAAUGUGACAGUCCACUUAGGUCACAGACUCCUCUUCUUCUGUUUAGAGGCUCAGAGGGAAACAGUUCACAGUCUGAGGAAGAUAACCAAGAAAGAAUCCAGGAAGUAGAGAAUCUACUGAAGAAGAAUGCUGACUGGAUCUGGGACUGGUCCAGUCGUCCUGAGAACAACCCACCAAAGGAGUUUCUGCUGAAACACCCCAGGCGCUCAGCCUCGCUCAGCAUCAGGAAGACCAACGUCAUGAAGAAAGGAGGAGUUCUCUCCCCUGACUUCCUCAAGCUUUUCCUUCCUUCAUUAUUCAUUUCUCAUAUACUCGCAGUUGGCCUGGGGAUAUACAUUGGGAGGCGUCUCAGCACAUACAGCACCUACUGAAGCUGAUGCUGCAUUAUGAGACCACUGACUCAUACAGCUGGCAUGCCUUCAAAUGGGGGCAACUUCAGAAUCCAAGGAGAAGUGGUUGAUGUAGCAUUCUCCAUUUUAGCUGAUUGCCUCAUCUUAUCUUCUGAAUGCUGUGACUGCUUCUUUCUCCCAGAAAUGCCUUGAAUCAGGAACUGAUUUGUGCUGCCAUGUUCCUCACACUAUUUUAGAAUGUUGUUUUAUAUUGAACUGCUGCCAAUUGGCAUUGUUUCUCAUUUUCUUAAGCAUAUUGUGUUUGUGUUUUGCCUGUUUGUUUGUUAUUCUUACGGGAAUGAUUAAUGUGAAUGAAUAUUAAUUGUGAAAUAAUUUCCUGCACUCAUUUUCUUUGAAAAAAGCUGGGGUUGUUAAUACAUUUCAUGCAACAUGUGAAAGGCAGGGUGUGAAUUGCAACAAAAGUCCAACUUUUGGGGGGUCUCUAAUUUAACCUAUUCUCCUAUUUGUUUAAAAUUCUAUUGUGUACUGUUAGUGGUAAAGAUGAAAAUAAAAGCUUAUUCCAAAUUAAAUGAA